This 497-nucleotide unclassified non-coding RNA is filed under the name Hevea brasiliensis (rubber tree). The record is from RNAcentral. Lineage: Eukaryota; Viridiplantae; Streptophyta; Magnoliopsida; Malpighiales; Euphorbiaceae.
CUGAGCUGGAAAAUCUGAUGACGAUUGUGGCGAAUCCGCGGCAGUUUAAGAUCCCAGACUGGUUUUUGAAUAGGAAGAAGGACUAUAAGGACGGGAGGUACUCUCAAGUGGUGUCGAAUGCGCUGGACAUGAAGCUGAGGGAUGAUCUGGAGCGCCUGAAGAAGAUUAGAAACCACCGUGGUCUGCGUCACUACUGGGGUCUCCGUGUUCGCGGACAGCACACCAAGACGACUGGCAGGAGGGGUAAAACUGUUGGUGUCUCAAAGAAGCGAUGAGCUCUGUUGUUUUUCAUGGCUCUGGUUUUGGUUCCAAAUAUCCGAGGUCUAUAGACAUUAUGUUUUCUUAGUCUAAGGUGUUUCUUAAGCAGCAGUUUUGUUACUUGUCUGAACUUCAAGAUGGUGAUUUGUUUGCCUGUAUGAGUUUGCAUUCAGUAAUUCUAGAAUUGUCAUUUAUCUUUCUUCAUCUUAAGUUGUGUUAAUGCUAGACUGCUAUCGUGG